GGAUCCCAGGACGCCCUCGGUGCUGCUCGGACCCCCUCGCCCCGCUCUCCGCCGACCCGAACGCCUGCUCAAGACAACCCAGCUGAGUCCUUCUUACCGUCUCCCCGCUCGGUUAUCCAAUCCUCGUGACUGGUCCGGUCCCUUGGUCCCGGGAUAGUUCGAGCCGUCAUCGUGUUCCCGUCCCGCAGUCCAGCGCUGCGCUCCGUGUGCUCCCGUGUAAAUAAUAAAUCCUUGAAUUCUGA
This is a long non-coding RNA of Fundulus heteroclitus (mummichog), 242 nucleotides long. RefSeq lists it as uncharacterized. The transcript is spliced from 2 exons. The record is from RefSeq and is a predicted model, not a curated record. NCBI's taxonomy places the organism in Eukaryota, Metazoa, Chordata, Actinopteri, Cyprinodontiformes, Fundulidae.